Molecule: long non-coding RNA, 250 nt
Filed under: Vitis vinifera (wine grape)
Lineage: Eukaryota; Viridiplantae; Streptophyta; Magnoliopsida; Vitales; Vitaceae
Description: long non-coding RNA (VVIN_LNC004236)
Source: RNAcentral
UUUGAUUAUGAUGGAAACCUCCACAGGGCUAAAAGUUUACAAAAGGAUGAAAAGUUUUUUUGGGAGGAAUAGUGUAGGGGGUGGAGGCCUCCUUUUAUAGCACAAGGAAGAUCCCCUCCUUUUGUCUCCUAAUCGAUGUGGGAUGACUUUAACCUUAAUGGGAUGACUUUAACCUUAACAUUUUUCUAUGUCUUUUCCCAUCACAUGCUGCUUACGUUACUACCAAACUAUAAACGGAUCAACACCGGCU